RNAcentral lists this ribosomal RNA (490 nucleotides) under uncultured bacterium. RNAcentral's name for it is "partial 16S ribosomal RNA". It matches the Rfam family "Bacterial small subunit ribosomal RNA", at positions 29 to 507 of the family's 1533-position model. The record is from RNAcentral.
AAUGAACGCUGGCGGCAUGCCUUACACAUGCAAGUCGAACGGCAGCAUGACCUAGCUUGCUAGGUUGAUGGCGAGUGGCGAACGGGGGAGUAAUGCAUCGGAACGUGCCUUUUAGUGGGGGAUAACGUAGCGAAAGUUACGCUAAUACCGCAUAUUCUCUGAGGAGGAAAGCAGGGGACCUUCGGGCCUUGCGCUAGAAGAGCGGCCGAUGUCGGAUUAGCUAGUUGGUGAGGUAAAGGCUCACCAAGGCAACGAUCCGUAGCGGGUCUGAGAGGAUGAUCCGCCACACUGGGAAUGAGACACGGCCCAGACUCCUAAGGGAGGCAGCAGUGGGGAAUUUUGGACAAUGGGCGCAAGCCUGAUCCAGCCAUGCCGCGUGAGUGAAGAAGGCCUUCGGGUUGUAAAGCUCUUUCGGCUGGGAAGAAAUCGCACCCUCUAAUACAGGGUGUGGAUGACGGUACCAGCAUAAGAAGCACCGGCUAACUACGUG